UACGUAGGGGCCAAGCGUUGUCCGGAUUUAUUGGGCGUAAAGAGCUCGUAGGCGGUUCGGCAAGUCGAAUGUGAAAUCUCCACGCUCAACGUGGAGGGGUCAUUCGAUACUGCCGUGACUCGAGUCCGGUAGGGGAGUGUGGAAUUCCCGGUGUAGCGGGUGUAGAUGCGUAGAUAUCGUAAGGAAGACCAGUGGCGAAG
This 200-nucleotide ribosomal RNA is filed under the name uncultured bacterium. Its description in RNAcentral is "partial 16S ribosomal RNA". It matches the Rfam family "Bacterial small subunit ribosomal RNA", at positions 524 to 720 of the family's 1533-position model. The record is from RNAcentral.